RNAcentral lists this ribosomal RNA (410 nucleotides) under uncultured bacterium. Its description in RNAcentral is "bacterial SSU rRNA". It matches the Rfam family "Bacterial small subunit ribosomal RNA", at positions 99 to 507 of the family's 1533-position model. The record is from RNAcentral.
CGCACGGGUGCGUAACGCGUAUGCAACCUACCUUAUACUGGGGGGAUAGCCCGGAGAAAUCUGGAUUAAUACUCCAUAACAUAUUGAACGGCAUCGUUUGAUAUUGAAAGCUCCGGCGGAUUAUAGAUGGGCACGCGCAAGAUUAGCUAGUUGGUGAGGUAACGGCUCACCAAGGCGAUGAUCUUUAGGGGCCUGAGAGGGUGAUCCCCCACACUGGUACUGAGACACGGACCAGACUCCUACGGGAGGCAGCAGUGAGGAAUAUUGGUCAAUGGGUGCAAGCCUGAACCAGCCAUCCCGCGUGAAGGACGACUGCCCUAUGGGUUGUAAACUUCUUUUGUAUAGGGAUAAACCUUUCCACGUGUGGAAAGCUGAAGGUACUAUACGAAUAAGCACCGGCUAACUCCGUG